AACGAACGCUGGCGGCAUGCCUAACACAUGCAAGUCGAACGAGACCUUCGGGUCUAGUGGCGCACGGGUGCGUAACGCGUGGGAACCUGCCCUUAGGUUCGGAAUAACUCCCCGAAAGGGGUGCUAAUACCGGAUAAUGUCUUCGGACCAAAGAUUUAUCGCCUUUGGAUGGGCCCGCGUUGGAUUAGCUAGUUGGUAGGGUAAAAGCCUACCAAGGCGACGAUCCAUAGCUGGUCUGAGAGGAUGAUCAGCCACACUGGGACUGAGACACGGCCCAGACUCCUACGGGAGGCAGCAGUGGGGAAUAUGAGACAAUGGGGGAAAGCCUGAUCCAGCAAUGCCGCGUAAGUGAUGAAGGCAUUAGGGUUGUAAAGCUCUUUUACCCGGGAUGAUAAUGACAGUACCGGGAGAAUAAGCUCCGGCUAACUCCGUG
RNAcentral lists this ribosomal RNA (433 nucleotides) under uncultured bacterium. RNAcentral's name for it is "partial 16S ribosomal RNA". It matches the Rfam family "Bacterial small subunit ribosomal RNA", at positions 29 to 507 of the family's 1533-position model. The record is from RNAcentral.